CCUACGGGGGGCUGCAGUGGGGAAUAUUGCACAAUGGGGGAAACCCUGAUGCAGCAACGCCGCGUGAGCGAAGAAGGCCUUCGGGUCGUAAAGCUCUGUCCUAAGGGAAGAAGCAUGACGGUACCUUAGGAGGAAGCCCCGGCUAACUACGUGCCAGCAGCCGCGGUAAUACGUAGGGGGCGAGCGUUAUCCGGAAUCACUGGGCGUAAAGGGUGCGUAGGCGGCCGAUUAAGCCAGGGGUGAAAGGCUACGGCUCAACCGUAGUAAGCCCUUGGAACUGAUUGGCUUGAGUGCAGGAGAGGGGGGUGGAAUUCCUAGGGUAGCGGUGAAAUGGGUGGAAAUUAGAAGGAACACCAGUGGGAAAGGCGACUCUCUGGACUGUAACGGACGCUGAGGCACGAAAUCGUGGGGGGCAAACAGGAUUAGAUACCGGGUAGUC
RNAcentral lists this ribosomal RNA (439 nucleotides) under uncultured bacterium. RNAcentral describes it as "bacterial SSU rRNA". It matches the Rfam family "Bacterial small subunit ribosomal RNA", at positions 338 to 795 of the family's 1533-position model. The record is from RNAcentral.